CGCUAGGAUCCCUUCGGGGUGACUUUGAUGCUGACGAGCGGCGGACGGGUGAGUAACGCGUAGGAAUCUACCCAGUAGCGGGGGAUAGCCCGGGGAAACUCGGAUUAAUACCGCAUACGCCCUAAGGGGGAAAGGGGGGGAACUCUUCGGAGACCUCUCACUAUUGGAGGAGCCUGCGUUGGAUUAGCUAGUUGGUAGGGUAAAAGCCUACCAAGGCCACGAUCCAUAGCUGUUCUGAGAGGAAGAUCAGCCACACUGGAACUGAGACACGGUCCAGACUCCUACGGGAGGCAGCAGUAGGGAAUAUUGUGCAAUGGGGGAAACCCUGACACAGCCAUGCCGCGUGUGUGAAGAAGGCCCUAGGGUUGUAAAGCACUUUCAGUAGGGAGGAUAAGGUUGGAUUAAUAAUCCGAUUCUAAGACGUUACCUACAGAAGAAGAUCCGGCUAACUCCGUGCCAGCAGCCGCGGUAAUACGGAGGGAUCAAACGUUAAUCGGAAUUACUGGGCGUAAAGCGCGCGUAGGUGGUUACUUAAGUGGGAUGUGAAAGCCCCGGGCUUAACCUGGGAACUGCAUUCCAAACUGGGCGACUAGAGUACGAUAGAGGGGGGUAGAAUUCAGAGUGUAGCGGUGAAAUGCGUAGAUAUUCUGAGGAAUACCGGUGGCGAAGGCGGCCCCCUGGAUUGAUACUGACACUGAGGUGCGAAAGCGUGGGGAGCAAACAGGAUUAGAUACCCCGGUAGUCCUAGCCGUAAACGAUGGGCACUAAGUAGAGGGGAUUACCGAUGUUCUCUCUGCCGUAGCUAACGCAUUAAGUGCCCCGCCUGGGGAGUACGGCCGCAAGGCUAAAACUCAAAAGAAUUGACGGGGGCUCGCACAAGCGGUGGAGCAUGUGGCUUAAUUCGAUGCAACGCGAAGAACCUUACCGGGGCUUGACAUGGUAGAAGUAGGAACCCGAAAGGGUAACGAACGGUAUCCAGUCCGUGACUAUCACAGGUGUUGCAUGGCUGUCGUCAGCUCGUGUCGUGAGACGUUGGGUUAAGUCCCCUAACGAGCGAAACCCUUGUUUUUAGUUACCAGCGGGUUGUGCCGGGUACUCUAGAAAGACUGCCGUCGUCAAGACGGAGGAAGGUGGGGAUGACGUCAAGUCAUCAUGGCCCUUAUGCCCCGGGCUGCACACGUGCUACAAUGGUCGGUACAAACGGAAGCGAAGCCGAGAGGUGGAGCGAAUCCUAAAAAGCCGAUCUCAGUUCGGAUUGGAGGCUGA
Molecule: ribosomal RNA, 1266 nt
Filed under: uncultured prokaryote
Description: partial 16S ribosomal RNA
Rfam family: Bacterial small subunit ribosomal RNA
Source: RNAcentral